Molecule: ribosomal RNA, 493 nt
Filed under: uncultured bacterium
Lineage: Bacteria
Description: bacterial SSU rRNA
Rfam family: Bacterial small subunit ribosomal RNA
Source: RNAcentral
AGCGAACGCUGGCGGUAUGCUUAACACAUGCAAGUCGAGCGAGAAAAUGGCUUCGGCCAUGAGUAGAGCGGCGGACGGGUGAGUAAUACAUGGAUAAUCUGCCUUUAGGACCGGGACAACCCAGGGAAACUUGGGCUAAUACCGGAUAAGACCACAGAAUCUGCGGAUUCAGUGGUAAAAGGUGGCUUCGGCUAUCACCUAUAGAUGAGUCCAUGUCCCAUCAGGUAGUUGGUGAGGUAACGGCCCACCAAGCCAAAGACGGGUAGCCGACCUUAGCGGGUGAUCGGCCACACGGGGACUGAGACACGGCCCCGACUCCUACGGGAGGCAGCAGUGGGGAAUAUUGGACAAUGGGCGCAUGCCUGAUCCAGCAAUACCGCGUGAGGGAUGAAGGCUUUCGAGUCGUAACCUCUGUCAGUUGGACGAUGGGUCUGUAGGUUAAUACCCUGCAGACUUGACGGUACCUUCAAAGGAAGCCCCGGCUAACUCCGUG